UAUCAUCAUUACAGAACAGGUCAACAACCUUUCACUCAUGGAUUAAUGUAAUAAUUUCCUAACCAGUCCUUUUCUCGUCUAAUCCAUUUUCUGACUGUUACCAGACUAACAGUUGGGAAAAUAAUGUUGUGCUUCACAUUUUUCAGCAGGCCACUCAUGUUAGCAUUACUAAGCAUCCACUGUGUGAAUGGAACUGCAAAGGAUUAGGAAUAGGAAAAUGGGAAGCUGAAAAGGAUAUGAUACUUCUCAAUUAUUUAUUUAUUUAUUUAUUUUGCUGUGGGUUGAACUCCAGGGUCUCUAGAAUGCUAAUAAGCAUGUGCUCUACCAGCCCCAUCUCAAAUAAUAUUUAUGAAGAAGUGGAGUUUAAAUCUAAAUGUGAUUUUUACCUGUAACAUUGUUUUGUCAAAGAGAACACACUUGAGACAUUUAAUGAAUAGCAAAAUAGUAAAAUAUUUUUUCCUUCCCCCCCCUUUCUAGGUUCGUGUUGCAUGUAAAUCUUGUCCCUGUGGUUACAUAUUUAUUAAUAGGAAGCUUCUAAAAAUAAGACACUCAGAGAAAUCAUCACCUUUUACAGAGGUGAAUAAUACCAUAUCUUUGAAAGAUUUGCGAAUACUUUUUUUUAUAUGAAUUUAAACUAGGACAUAGUGCAGCCAUGGCAAGUAGGAACUUCAAUUCUGUCUUUGGAGAAGGCUCUGUUAGUGAAAGGACCAUCCGUUGGUGGUUUGAAAAAUUUCGUUCUGGGGAUCUGAGUCUGAAAAAUGAGCCUCGAGGGAGAUCUGUUUUAGAUGAAGAUCACCUGAGAGCUCUGGUGGAGGCUAACCCCAAAACAGCAAUUCGAGGCCUUGCUGCAUACUUAGGAGUUUCUGCUACAACGGUUGCUCGUCACCUGGCUGCAAUAGGGAAAGUGAAAAAAUUGGACAAGUGGGUAGGUACCACACCAGUUGAUGGAUGAUCACAGGCUGAGAUGGUUAAAAUUUUGGAGAGGAUCAUCAGCUUUAAUGAAAAAAAUGGAUACAUACAUGGCAAUUGAAAGUGAUCUGAUCAACAAUUGAUGUUGGUGAAGUUCCCAAACAUUUGUUAAAGCCAUUGUUGCAACCAAAAAAGAUCCUGGUAACUGUAGGUGGUCUUCAAAAAGGGUAUUUCAUUACUGCUUUUUUAACCUGGGCAAAUCUAAUUAACAUUGUAUUGUGAAGAAGUUGACAUUAUGUAUAAAAAUUGAUCUAGAAUCAUUCUGCAUUUGGUUAGCAGACUUUGAUCUAUACUUUUCUGGGAUAGCAUUCACUCACAGACAGCACAAGCCAUCAUAGCAAAGUUAAUAGAAUUGGACUGAGAAAUUGUGUCACAUUCAUUUUUACUCACUAGACCUUUUUCAGAGGAUUUAAAUAAAUUUUAAACAGUGCUGAAUUUUA
Molecule: non-coding RNA, 1409 nt
Organism: Ictidomys tridecemlineatus (thirteen-lined ground squirrel)
Lineage: Eukaryota; Metazoa; Chordata; Mammalia; Rodentia; Sciuridae
Source: RefSeq, a predicted model, not a curated record